GCGUUUUUCUAGCGAGCUUGGGAGGGUGAAAGCCAAGUAAAGCAAAGUAAGAAACUGGCACUUUCUGUUAUAUUUUUAAAAGGAAUGAAGUAAUAAAUUAGGGUGGAACCGCGUUUCUGACG
Molecule: small RNA, 122 nt
Filed under: Streptococcus sp. DD10
Lineage: Bacteria; Bacillati; Bacillota; Bacilli; Lactobacillales; Streptococcaceae
Description: Streptococcus sRNA SpR19
Rfam family: Streptococcus sRNA SpR19
Source: Rfam by way of RNAcentral